Molecule: ribosomal RNA, 235 nt
Filed under: uncultured bacterium
Lineage: Bacteria
Description: partial 16S ribosomal RNA
Rfam family: Bacterial small subunit ribosomal RNA
Source: RNAcentral
UGAGGAGCAUGACUUUCGGCGGGGGAUAGCCGGCCCAACGGCCGGGUAAUACCGCGUACGACCUUUUGGGGACAUCCCUGAUUGGUGAAAGCAGCAAUGCGCCGAAAGGGUGCCUCGCGGCCUAUCAGCUAGUUGGCGAGGUAAUGGCUCACCAAGGCGACGACGGGUAGCCGGCCUGAGAGGGUGACCGGCCACACUGGGACUGAGGCACGGCCCAGACUCCUACGGGAGGCAG